This is a long non-coding RNA of Aphis gossypii (cotton aphid), 633 nucleotides long. RefSeq lists it as uncharacterized. The record is from RefSeq and is a predicted model, not a curated record. Lineage: Eukaryota; Metazoa; Arthropoda; Insecta; Hemiptera; Aphididae. The transcript is spliced from 5 exons.
GUUUAAUAUUGUGUAAAUACAAUUACAAAAUAGUUAUAAAAUAUUAAGUCGUACAUAGUAAUAAAAUAAAACAACAGUUUCCAUUAGUUGUUUAGAUGGAAUUUUAAGUCCACCUCUAGAAAUAUGUUCGAUCCAAGAAGAAUCAUCUCCAUCUGUAUUAAUUAAAUGUCAAGCCCUUCUGGUUGAAUUAGUGUUGUAUCUUCUUCUAACUCCAAUAUGACAUCAUCAGAUUUAGGAAUGAUUUCAGAGCAUUGAAUAAUUUGGCUAGUUAAACAUUCGUUUUCACUUAAGAGGUUUAUUUCAUUUCCACACUCAGAGUUUGUAUUAUUGGUGAAAAUGCAAUUGGAAUGUUUCCCAAGAAUAUACCAGCGAAGACUGAAAAUCAUCUUAGAAAUGAACUCGUUCAUUUCUAAAAGAAGAUUUUUUUGGUUUAUAAUGUCAAGUCCAAAACUUGGUCUUCCAUGGUCAUAUUUGUGUGAAGAAUUAUGUAAAUCGAACCAAUCAUUAAAUAAUUGGAUCAUUUUUGAUGCCUAAAAAAUAAUAAAGUAUUAAAAUGUCCAUUUUGUCCUGCAUAUGAUAUGGCUUUAGCAACUGAAUUUGAAAAAACGUGUGCUGAAAGUUUCACAUUCAUCC